Long non-coding RNA from Cyprinus carpio carpio, 2695 nucleotides. The record is from Ensembl. NCBI's taxonomy places the organism in Eukaryota, Metazoa, Chordata, Actinopteri, Cypriniformes, Cyprinidae.
CUCUGACCAUCUCACAGCACAGCUGUGUGAAGUCCCCCUCCUGCUUCAAAUGCUCCACCAUCAUACCUGUACCCAAGAAAAAAACUAAACAUCACAGGACUUAAUGACUACAGACCUGUUGCUUUAACAUCUGUGGUCAUGAAGUCAUUUGAGAGACUGGUGCUGGGCUACUUAAAGGACAUUACUGGACUCUUGUUGGACCCCCUGCAGUUUGCUUACUGAGCAAACAGGUCUGUGGAUGAUGCAGUCAAUAUGGGAUUGCACUACAUCCUCCAACAUCUGGACAAACCAGGGACUUAUGCAAGGAUCUUGUUUGUGGACUUCAGCUCAGCUUUCAACACCAUCAUCCCGGACACCCUUCAGAAUAAACUCACACAGCUCUCUGUACCCACCUCCAUCUGUCAGUGGAUCACCAGCUUUCUGACAGACAGGCAGCAGCUAGUGAGGCUGGGGAAAAAUCACAUCCAACACCCGCACCAUCAGCACUGGAGCUCCUCAGGGCUGUGUUCUCUCCCCACUGCUCUUCUCUCUCUACACAAAUGACUGCACCUCUAAAGACCCCUCUGUCAAGCUCCUGAAGUUUGCAGACGACACUACAGUCAUUGGCCUCAUUCAGGAUGGUGAUGAGAGCUGGCUGUCUGGUGCAGUCACAACAAACUGGAGCUCAACACGCUCAAAACUGUGGAGAUGAUCAUGGACUUCAUGAGAAACCCCCUGCUCUCCCUCCACUCACCAUCAUGGACAGCACUGUGGCUGCAGUGGAGUCAUUCAGAUUCCUGGGCAUCACCAUCUCUCAGGACCUCAAGUGGGACAUUCACAUUGACUCCAUUGUGAAAAAGACCCAGCAGAGGUUGUACUUUCUUCGUCAGCUGAAAAAGUUCAACCUGCCAAAGGCACAGAUGACACAGUUUUACUCCGCUAUUAUUGAGUCUGUUCUGUGCUCUUCUAUAACUGUCCGGUUUGGGUCAGCCAGCAAAUCAGAUUUAAGAAGACUGCAACGGACUGUAAGAACCGCAGAAGGGAUCAUUGGUGUGCACUUGUCCAGUCUUCAGGAUUUGUACAACUCCAGAGUAAAGACAUGGGCAGGUUUGAAAAGCAAAAGUCUGGUCUGACACCACACACCCACUCUGACCAUCUCACAGCACAGCUGUGUGAAGUCCCCUCCUGCUUCAAAUGCUCCACCAUCAUACCUGUACCCAAGAAAAAACUAAAAUCACAGGACUUAAUGACUACAGACCUGUUGCUUUAACAUCUGUGGUCAUGAAGUCAUUUGAGAGACUGGUGCUGGGCUACUUAAAGGACAUUACUGGACUCUAGUUGGACCCCCCUGCAGUUUGCUUACUGAGCAAACAGGUCUGUGGAUGAUGCAGUCAAUAUGGGAUUGCACUACAUCCUCCAACAUCUGGACAAACCAGGGACUUAUGCAAGGAUCUUGUUUGUGGACUUCAGCUCAGCUUUCAACACCAUCAUCCCGGACACCCUUCAGAAUAAACUCACACAGCUCUCUGUACCCACCUCCAUCUGUCAGUGGAUCACCAGCUUUCUGACAGACAGGCAGCAGCUAGUGAGGCUGGGGAAAAUCACAUCCAACACCCGCACCAUCAGCACUGGAGCUCCUCAGGGCUGUGUUCUCUCCCCACUGCUCUUCUCUCUCUACACAAAUGACUGCACCUCUAAAGACCCCUCUGUCAAGCUCCUGAAGUUUGCAGACGACACUACAGUCAUUGGCCUCAUUCAGGAUGGUGAUGAGAGCUGGCUGUCUGGUGCAGUCACAACAAACUGGAGCUCAACACGCUCAAAACUGUGGAGAUGAUCAUGGACUUCAGGAGAAACCCCCCUGCUCUCCCUCCACUCACCAUCAUGGACAGCACUGUGGCUGCAGUGGAGUCAUUCAGAUUCCUGGGCAUCACCAUCUCUCAGGACCUCAAGUGGGACAUUCACAUUGACUCCAUUGUGAAAAAGACCCAGCAGAGGUUGUACUUUCUUCGUCAGCUGAAAAAGUUCAACCUGCCAAAGGCACAGAUGACACAGUUUUACUCCGCUAUUAUUGAGUCUGUUCUGUGCUCUUCUAUAACUGUCCGGUUUGGGUCAGCCAGCAAAUCAGAUUUAAGAAGACUGCAACGGACUGUAAGAACCGCAGAAGGGAUCAUUGGUGUGCACCUGUCCAGUCUUCAGGAUUUGUACAACUCCAGAGUAAAGACAUGGGCAGGUAUCAUCAUUGAAGACCCCUCUCACUCUGGACACUAGAACAUCUACACAUAAAAACACCCCCAUGCCAUCUCCAGCUUAAACAGCUAACAUUUGAAUCAUUACCUGUGUUUUGUAAUUCUGUGUUCUGUAAUUCAUUUCCGUAAAUCAUUCUACAUUUUAAUUAUUGCCUUCUCAAGUAUUAUGUAAAUACAUAUGCAUAUCUAUAUUACUUAUACAGUUCUAUAUAGAGUAAAAAUGCACAAAUCUGUACAUAAAUCAAUCUACUGUUCCAGAUUCUUUCACAUUAUUUAUUGCUAAGUCUUGUUAAAAUUAUUUUUAUUUUUUGUUCUCAUGUCAGAUGUGUAUGUAUGCAUGUACACUCACCUAAAGGAUUAUUAGGAACACCUGUUCAAUUUCUCAUUAAUGCAAUUAUCUAAUCAACCAAUCACAUGGCAGUUGCUUCAAUGCAUUUAGGGGUGUGGUCCUGGUCAAGACAAUCUCCUGA